GAUUAAUCCAUAUAUGUUUAAGUACAUAGCUCAAAAGAUGAUGCCGCGAAUGGUUCAUUACGUCAGCUAUGGUCUCUUAGACCGCAAUCGCUUUGUGGAUAACCGUAGUAAACGUAGAGCUAAUAUGUGCCUUGAAUCCCUUGUCCGCGAGGAAACGGGUGCAUCUAUCAGAAUAGAACUCACUAAGUGCGACUUCAUUUGUUCCUGUUGCAUUCCGAGCUGACUCUGGAUAACUUUGCUGAUCGCGAUUGGCUUUGUGUCGACGACAGGUCUUUCGAACCCCCGCCCUAUCAAUCUUUUGGUAGACGGCUUGUUAACCAUUAUGAUAACGAGUAAGGGAGAAUCAGGGUUCAAUUCCGGAGAGUGUUUGAGGAAUGGUUGCUGAUGUCCAAAAGCUAGUAGUUGGGUC
Molecule: ribosomal RNA, 409 nt
Organism: Schistosoma mansoni
Lineage: Eukaryota; Metazoa; Platyhelminthes; Trematoda; Strigeidida; Schistosomatidae
Rfam family: Eukaryotic small subunit ribosomal RNA
Source: Rfam